GCCACGCGCAGAGACCCGUGGGCGCGCAGCAGCAGAGCACGAGCAGCGCGAUCACUCAGCAGCAGGAUUAUCAGGAAUCAUGAGCGUGGGAAAACUGGCGGUGUGUGUUGUGUUAGCGCUGGCCGUGUGUGAGGCGUAUGUGUUUCAGGCCGGUCAGUCAUCAGGUGAGGUGGACGACACUCCUCCACAGAUCAGAGAUUUCUCUGGCUCCUGUAAGGGCCGUUGUUUCGAGCUGAAGGAGGCGGAGCCACCCAGCUGCAGGUGUGAUAAUCUGUGUAAGACGUACCUGAGCUGCUGCUCUGACUUCGACGAGCAGUGCCUCAAGACAGCGGGAGGGUUCGAGUGUUCGCGGGAGCGCUGUGGUGAGAUCAGGAAUGAGGAUUACGCCUGUCAACUGUUCAGACGACUGACUGUCUGCUGAGAG
Molecule: long non-coding RNA, 424 nt
Organism: Cyprinus carpio (common carp)
Lineage: Eukaryota; Metazoa; Chordata; Actinopteri; Cypriniformes; Cyprinidae
Exons: 4
Source: RefSeq, a predicted model, not a curated record